Molecule: long non-coding RNA, 639 nt
Filed under: Homo sapiens (human)
Lineage: Eukaryota; Metazoa; Chordata; Mammalia; Primates; Hominidae
Description: non-protein coding GMDS-DT:127
Source: RNAcentral
CAUUUAUUCAUUUAACUGGCAGUUAUUUAUUGAGCAUCUAUUAUGUGGCAGGCACCGUGGUGACACUGAAAAGAGAAGGGUGAACAAGGACAGUCCUGAGCUCAAGCAGGCUGCUGGCAGGUGGUAGUGGGGGCAGACAAGCAAAGGGGCACCCAUGCCAUGGCCUGCAAUGCACCACCUCCAGGACAAGGUUUGGGACCCAUCCCUGGGUCUUGGGGGACAUUCUAAAAGGAAGCAGUGGCUCAGCAUAGACCUGAAGGACAAGAAGGCACCAGUCAUGUGUGGAGUGGGUUGGUGGAGAUGCGCAGAGUGCAAGGAGGUCUGGAGGAAGCAUGCUCAUGGCAAUACCCGGAGUCUCCACUGCAAGACCAGAGUGACGGAGGCAGCAGAGCUCCUCAGCAGGCCAGGAGUCUCCAGAGGCACUGCCGAAUGUCUAAGAAGCAACCUCAUUGUAUUCCCAAGACCUGGGAAUCCAGGUCUCGCAGAUACGAUGAUACAAUCUAUAGCCAGGACAUCUCUUCAUGUGUAGGAUAAGCAACUAUCCCAGUCUUCCCAGGAUUGAGGGGCUUCUCCAGAUGCUGCACUUCUGGUGCUAAAAAUGAGAAACUGAAAUGAAUUAGUCACCCAAGGAAUGCUGAC